This 345-nucleotide unclassified non-coding RNA is filed under the name soil metagenome. RNAcentral's name for it is "partial contains 5.8S ribosomal RNA, internal transcribed spacer 2, and large subunit ribosomal RNA". The stretch from base 1 to 120 matches the Rfam family "5.8S ribosomal RNA", at positions 35 to 154 of the family's 154-position model. The record is from RNAcentral.
GAUGAAGAACGCAGUGAAAUGCGAUACGUAAUGUGAAUUGCAGAAUUCAGUGAAUCAUCGAGUCUUUGAACGCACAUUGCGCCCCCUGGUAUUCCGGGGGGCAUGCCUGUCCGAGCGUCAUUGCUGCCCUCAAGCACGGCUUGUGUGUUGGGCCUCCGUCCUCCUCCCGGGGGACGGGCCCGAAAGGCAGCGGCGGCACCGCGUCCGGUCCUCGAGCGUAUGGGGCUUCGUCACCCGCUCUUGUAGGCCCGGCCGGCGCUUGCCGACACAUCAAUCUUUUUUCCAGGUUGACCUCGGAUCCGGUAGGGAUACCCGCUGAACUUAAGCAUAUCAAUAAGCGGAGGA